Long non-coding RNA from Girardinichthys multiradiatus, 2643 nucleotides. RefSeq lists it as uncharacterized. The transcript is spliced from 3 exons. NCBI's taxonomy places the organism in Eukaryota, Metazoa, Chordata, Actinopteri, Cyprinodontiformes, Goodeidae. The record is from RefSeq and is a predicted model, not a curated record.
GUGGAGGUGCCAUUUUUGGGGGGAACGUAAUCCGCUUCCACUGCUCAAGCUCCAUCUCCAAAACCUUUUUCUGUUGCUCCACACCAGCCAGGUCAGAGUUCAGCUUCUGGAGAGAAAGCCUCAACAGGAUUGUUAUAGCGUGGUGAGAACUGAAACACAAUAACGAGCCACAACACAUGGUUGCAUGAUCCGACCAACCAGUAACAGACAGUGAGAAGGACAUCAUCGCAGGUUUCCUCUGCUCUGCUCAAGACACACAUGCCGCCUCCCCUGGGAGUGUGGGGGAGAGGGUGAGGGAGGAGCAGGGAAUGAAAAGUGGGAAUAUGGCCCCAGUGGCAGCAGAGCACGAAUUAAGAGAGGCAUUGAUGACACUUCCUGUAAGACAAGCUCUGAUUUCGUGGGCCAUUUUCAGCACUGGUGAGAAAUGACACUGACGUAGACGGAUAUACUGGUACUCCCAUUAGGAAGGAGGAGAGGACUCCUUUCUCUGUGUCUCUCCUUUGUUUCAGUCUAAGAACUGUGGAAUGACUGAUGCUUUUUCAAGUUAACAGCAGCGGUUUUAAAUAAGCACAAUAUUUGCACAUUCACAUCUUUAUCCAAUAAAAACCCAAACUGAGCUGUGUCCUAAUCUUCUGUAUAAAGUAUUGUGUUUUUCUCAGUUACAGCUACAAAACUGUGACAGGACUCAUCCAACAUCCAUCCAUCUUAAUUAAGAGAAAGGCAGAUAAAUCCAGCUUAGAAACCCAACAAAUUUCAUCUGUACCAACCCUGAUUUUGUCUUUUAUUCAAUGCUAUUCACCUCAAACAACACUGGUAUUUUAUAUUGUUUAAAUUUGGUAGUUUAUUACAACAAAUUUAUACUGUGAUAUAUAUCACAGUAUCCACACACAGUGUGUUUGUGUGUGUAGAUUCACAUUUUUAAUUACGUGUUAUUUGAAUGAAGAUUAUUGUGUUUAUUUCAUAGUUUAGUAGUUUUAAUAAAUUAACCGGUAUAUAAAAUAAAUGCUUGAACUUUGUGCUUAAAACCAUUUAAAAACAAGAAACAGCUUUCCAGCAGUCUUUCCAAAAUAUCCAACUGUGUUUAAUCUGUACUUAAAUAUUAUAAAAUCAUUAAAAAAAACUACUAAAUAAAUAACGUUUUGAAAAGUCUGGAUUUUUAAAAAUAAAAAUGGAUAAGGAUAUUUUUUAUUAUUAACCAGCACUUUAUGUUCGCAUUUGACAUACUUCAGAGAGCAACACUAUUAUUUAAGUAGUCAUGAUUACAUGCAGUUUUUUAAAAAAGUUUGAACUGGAAGAACUACAUGGAAAGGAUGGAAUAAUGGAAGACAGAAGACAAAAGUGUAUGACUUCAUAAAGCAGUGAGCCAGGAAAAGAAGCAAAGAGGACAGGAUGGCUAAAGGAUCAGGAGACAGAGCAACACAAACAAGUCUCUGGGAACCUGCCGUGCUACCUAUCACAUGAUGGCCCCUGUGGAGGCUGUCCUAAGCCAAUUACAAGCAGAGUUUUAGUUAGAGAGUUGCCCAGGACCGACUGGAACAAGUCCAAAGUCUAUCACCUCUUGGCCUUUCCAGAGAGGGCAACUAGACCUGGCUUUGACCAGUUAGUCGACUCCAACUUUCUCUGGUGGAGUGGCAUUAAUACUGCAGGAGGAGAGACGAAACAAACAGGAAGAUAGCAAUUCCCUCUCUGUCCACUCAUUCACUCUGUGUGUGUGUGUGUGUGUGUGUGUGUGUGUUUGUGUGGGUGAAACUGAGCCGACACUGCUGUGUCUGAGUCUAAGGUCUCGUUGGGUUUCAGCAAUCAGAAGCUUGGUGGGUGCACCAGGGCCACUUCCUGGGUGGCAACGUUCUGGAAGAUGAACUCUGACUUGUUUAUACGAGUCCACAGAAAUGUGACUUAACAAAAAAAGAAACAUGGUAUACUCUCUAAUUAUAUGUCCAGUUGGUGUUAGCUGGUUACUGCUCUGGCAAGAUAUUAUCACUGAAAAAUAUCCUGCCUAUCAGAUUCAUGACUGUCUGGUGGUGUGAACAUAUGCUGAUGUUUAUAGGGAGGCCUCAACAGGUAGAGCAUGGUCCUGCUAUGUGUUUAAUUUAUACCCUAGAGUUUCCUAUCAGAAUGUAAACACUAAAAAACUCAACAGGAAGUGAAGUGGGACUCCAAAGAACCCGUUACCUUGUCUCUCUUAGUGGCAUGUUGGACGAAUUUAAAUUGCACAGUUUUUCAUGUACAUUAGGGUUAAAGAAAUUAACCGCAGUAGAAAACUAUGACACAGUGAUAGUAAGACAUCACAGCACUGAGAGUGUAUCAGUAAUGGUUUUAAGUUACUAACAACUUAACUGUGAUGCAUCCAAAACCUCUGUCUUGGUAAUACCGGAUCUCAGCGCUCCAAUCGAGACGGUUGAUCAUAAAAUGCUGAUCGAUAGACUGGAAAAGAAGUUGGGAUCGUCUGGUGCUAUGCUAGUUUGGUUCAGAUCUUACAGGUGCAACUGGGACUGCUUAGUAUCAUUUGAGAUCAUAUAUGGUUCCUCAAGGCUCCCUUCUAGGACAACCUUUACUGAACAUCUAUAGGGGUUGGACAAUGAAACUGAAACACCUGGUUUUAGACCACAAUAAUUUAUUAGUAUGGUGUAGGGCCUCCUUUUG